GAUGAACGCUGGCGGCGUGCUUAACACAUGCAAGUCGAACGGAAAGGCUCCUGCUUGCAGGGGUACUCGAGUGGCGAACGGGUGAGUAACACGUGGGUGAUCUGCCCUGCACUUCGGGAUAAGCCUGGGAAACUGGGUCUAAUACCGGAUAGGACCACAUUUUGGAUGGUGUGGUGGAAAGUUUUUCGGUGUGGGAUGAGCUCGCGGCCUAUCAGCUUGUUGGUGGGGUAAUGGCCUACCAAGGCGUCGACGGGUAGCCGGCCUGAGAGGGUGUACGGCCACAUUGGGACUGAGAUACGGCCCAGACUCCUACGGGAGGCAGCAGUGGGGAAUAUUGCACAAUGGGCGCAAGCCUGAUGCAGCGACGCCGCGUGGGGGAUGACGGCCUUCGGGUUGUAAACUCCUUUCGCUAGGGACGAAGCGCAAGUGACGUUACCUGGAGAAGAAGCACCGGCUAACUACGUG
Molecule: ribosomal RNA, 465 nt
Filed under: uncultured bacterium
Lineage: Bacteria
Description: partial 16S ribosomal RNA
Rfam family: Bacterial small subunit ribosomal RNA
Source: RNAcentral